Molecule: long non-coding RNA, 262 nt
Organism: Mesoplodon densirostris (Blainville's beaked whale)
Lineage: Eukaryota; Metazoa; Chordata; Mammalia; Artiodactyla; Ziphiidae
Exons: 3
Source: RefSeq, a predicted model, not a curated record
GAGAGAAACUUAGAAAUCACCUCCCUGAAGCAUGAGGCCGAGAACUUAAGGAGGGAGACCGCCAUCACGUCAGAGAUGGUGUCAUCUUUGCAAAGAGACGUGUUAGUAAAGGAUGGUCAAGUUCAACAACUACAACAGGAGGUGAAUCAACUGAAAAGUGAGAACAAAGAAAAGGAUCACCAGCUCGAAGCCCUCAGCUCCAGACAAAUCCAUGACAUGGAAAAAGAAAUGAGGAAGCUCAGGGUGGAGCUGAAAAGGAGCA